UACAGAGGGUGCAAGCGUUGUUCGGAAUUAUUGGGCGUAAAGGGCGCGUAGGCGGUGCGGUAAGUCUGUAGUGAAAUCUCUGGGCUCAACUCAGAGUCUGCUAUAGAAACUGCCGUGCUUGAGUGUGGGAGAGGUGAGUGGAAUUCCCGGUGUAGCGGUGAAAUGCGUAGAUAUCGUCAGGAACGCCGGUGGUGAAGACGGGUGACUUGGCCGGUUCUGACACUGAGGCACGAAAGCGUGGGGAGCGAACGGG
This 253-nucleotide ribosomal RNA is filed under the name uncultured bacterium. RNAcentral describes it as "partial 16S ribosomal RNA". It matches the Rfam family "Bacterial small subunit ribosomal RNA", at positions 524 to 776 of the family's 1533-position model. The record is from RNAcentral.